Molecule: non-coding RNA, 28 nt
Filed under: Bombyx mori (domestic silkworm)
Lineage: Eukaryota; Metazoa; Arthropoda; Insecta; Lepidoptera; Bombycidae
Source: RNAcentral
AUCAGCCUUUAUCUGCCCACUGCUGGAC